Molecule: ribosomal RNA, 478 nt
Filed under: uncultured bacterium
Lineage: Bacteria
Description: partial 16S ribosomal RNA
Rfam family: Bacterial small subunit ribosomal RNA
Source: RNAcentral
GAUGAACGCUCGCGGCAGGCCUAACACAUGCAAGUCGAGGGAGAAGCCCUUUCGGGGGCAGAAACCGGCGCACGGGUGCGUAACGCGUAUGCAACCUACCUUUCACAGGGGGAUAGCCCGAAGAAAUUUGGAUUAAUACCCAAUAAUAUUAUUGGAUGGCAUCAUUUGAUAAUUAAAACUGCGGUGGUGAAAGAUGGGCAUGCGUCCUAUUAGCUAGUUGGAGUGGUAACGGCACCCCAAGGCUACGAUAGGUAGGGGUCCUGAGAGGGAGAUCCCCCACACUGGUACUGAGACAGGGACCAGACUCCUACGGGAGGCAGCAGUGAGGAAUAUUGGUCAAUGGUCGGAAGACUGAACCAGCCAUGCCGCGUGCAGGAAGAAUGCCUUAUGGGUGGUAAACUGCUUUUAUAUGGGAAGAAUAAGGCGUACGUGUACGUUGAUGACGGUACCAUAUGAAUAAGCAUCGGCUAACUCCGUG